RNAcentral lists this ribosomal RNA (253 nucleotides) under uncultured bacterium. RNAcentral's name for it is "partial 16S ribosomal RNA". It matches the Rfam family "Bacterial small subunit ribosomal RNA", at positions 524 to 776 of the family's 1533-position model. The record is from RNAcentral.
UACGAACUGUGCAAACGUUAUUCGGAUUCACUGGGCUUAAAGGGUGCGUAGGCGGCCAUGUAAGUAGGGUGUGAAAUCCCCCGGCUUAACCGGGGAACUGCGCCCUAAACUGUGUGGCUUGAGUGAGAUAGGGGUGUGUGGAACUUCCGGUGGAGCGGUGAAAUGUGUUGAUAUCGGAAGGAACGCCGGUGGCGAAAGCGACACACUGGGUCUCAACUGACGCUGAGGCACGAAAGCGUGGGGAGCAAACAGG